GCAGAGUAGAACUUUGUGCGUUUCCUUUUAUGGUGCAGUGCCUGUUGGACGGGGAGUUGUCAGCAGGACGAAAAGCCUUUUGGCUUGCGGUACAAAGUUUGCAUCCCGCUGC
RNAcentral lists this non-coding RNA (112 nucleotides) under human gut metagenome. Its description in RNAcentral is "THF riboswitch". It matches the Rfam family "THF (Tetrahydrofolate) riboswitch aptamer". Rfam says of the family: THF riboswitch presents a pseudoknot that joins P1-P2 and the loop of P3 and two THF binding. The record is from RNAcentral.